RNAcentral lists this long non-coding RNA (480 nucleotides) under Musa acuminata (dwarf banana). Its description in RNAcentral is "long non-coding RNA (MACU_LNC002479)". The record is from RNAcentral. Lineage: Eukaryota; Viridiplantae; Streptophyta; Magnoliopsida; Zingiberales; Musaceae.
CCAUGGUGUCCUUGGCAGUCGCGUAGGACUCCGCCACCUUUUGCUUCGCUCCCUCGUAUGCUCUUUUGGCAUCAUCGGCGGCGGUCGCCUGAUCUCCGGCCAUGUCCGCUAUGUUGUCCUUCGCCUCCCCAGCCUUGUUCUUCACGGCCUCUUUUGCUUGUCUGGCCUCGUGGGAAGUAUGCUCUGCAGCUUCUGUGCAAGGGGUCCAGUGUUUAGAAUGUGCACACUUGCCCUGUCCUUGUGCUUAGCCCUCAAACUCUGUAUUCUUUGUCAUAUAGAUUCCGUGUCGUUGUAAUUAGAUUCGGCUAACAUCAGUUUGACUGCCAGGACAGGCCACACUUACCUGAAGCAGCACCGUACAUCGUGUCCUUGGCCUUCAUGGCGAUGUCUCCCGCCUUAUCCUUCGUCUUCUCCGACGCUACCUUCGCGUUCUCCUGCAUCGUCCCGAGCCCCCUGCACAUAGUCAAGGACUAUAACCUU